GUUUCUUCAAAUUCCGACUCAACGAAAAUGCUUGAACAAUGUUAUUCGUUGGAAUAUCAUAGAGAUCGCAAACUCCUGCCAUUGUCGAAAAUAACACGAUUCCAAGAAAGAAAAGUCUGAGGAAAAAAUAUUGAGAAUAAUUUUUUUUGGUCAACUCUGAAAUAAUUUCGAGGCAAGGAGAAAUCGUCGAGAGAAGGAGAUGAUCUGAAGCAAUGGGCCUUUUUUGUUGGCAAAUAAAUAUUCUUCAAACAUUGACGGAAAUUUUGUUUACGUAAAAAUACACAACACAAUUUGUUUUGCGAAAGAUUAUCCUGAAUUAUUUCCGUGUGAUUUCUCAGACUGCCAACGAGUUCAACAAAUGUGAAAUUUUCCGAGAAUGCCUGUGAUUUAUUUUGUCCGAGGAUACGGAGGAUCUCUUCGUCUUCAAGUGAUGAUGGCAAACCGGCGGACGUCAGUAUAUCAACAGUUUUUCCUUCAGUCAAAACAAUGAUAGUGAUGAUGAGAACGUUCCACGUGAAUAUAUUGACGAGCGAUAAAUGAAUUGCUGACGGUGAGUCAAGUCAUUCAAGUUUUGGAAAAAAUUUUGCUGCAACUCCUUCUUGACGAAGUUCACGGGUGUCUAUUUGAAAGCACGUUUAACGAGCGACAAAACAGAAUGCCUCGAAAACCCACUCACGGCACCUGUCUUCACAUCACAGUUGAUGAUUCGGAAGGGGAAAUCCGCAAUACCCUCUCCAUAAUCUCGAUUAAAAAUUUAAUAAUUUAUUACAUUAACAUCACAUUUUAAAAUGAAGAAUUCUUUCGAAUUCGAAAAAAAAAUUCAUCACGAUUUUCGGAUUUAUUACAAGGAUUCAAGGAAGAAGACUUUGGAUUGUUCAAAUUUGGAAGAAGGACAUGGUUCCGGAAUUGUAAACUUGAAGAAUGAUUUACGGUUUUUUAAAAAGGGGAAAAAUCGUCUUUCAAAGUCGAUGGUGAAGAAGAAGAGGAAUAAAAAUCUCAAGAGAAGAAGAAGAGGAUCCUCUUAGCAGACUUUCUUUUGUGUUCAUCUUUAAAAACCAACCCGAACUAAAAAGAAGAACCCAUACUUAUUUUUUUUCAAAAAAGAGUAUUGGAAAUUCCACCCGAUGAAAUCGUUAUUUUUUUUUAAAUUGGUUCUUUUUUUAAAUUUUUUUCCUAAAAGAAAAUAAAUUUCUGUAAUUUUUUCUUUCUUUUUUCUCCUCGUGUGAGACGUGUGUUCCUGCACGUUUCGCGUUCUUUUGAUUGUAGUGCGUCGUCCUUCGCGAUCGUUCGAUUCGUGACUUUUUUACGCACGUUGACCGGCUCAUUCUAUCGAGAUUCCAUGAGUUUCGUUUUAUAUCGUUGUUGUGUGUCGAUAAACUGUCACUCUACUUCUUCCCACAAAGGAACACCGCGUCGAUAGCUAUCAAUAUAAUUAGUUUAAUAAUCAAGGCGUCGUAUUGUCUACUAUCGUCAUAAGUUAUUUGUUAUACAUUGUAUUGACUUUAAUUAAUUUUUUAUUAUUUUCUUCAUCCGGUUGUAAAAUUUCAAAUCAAUUUCGAGAAAGGAAAACAAAUUAUUAACCAGAAAAUAUUACUUUUUCAAUAUUUAUUUAUAUUGAAUAUAAUCCUAAUAUAACUUAGGGAAAAAUAUUAUGAAAUGUCUGCAAAAAAAUUCCCCUCCUUCCAAGUAUUUAAUUUGUACAAAAGUACAAAAAAGCUU
Molecule: long non-coding RNA, 1719 nt
Organism: Leptopilina heterotoma
Lineage: Eukaryota; Metazoa; Arthropoda; Insecta; Hymenoptera; Figitidae
Exons: 6
Source: RefSeq, a predicted model, not a curated record